This 2599-nucleotide long non-coding RNA is filed under the name Salmo salar (Atlantic salmon). RNAcentral describes it as "lncRNA (ENSSSAG00000115456.1)". Lineage: Eukaryota; Metazoa; Chordata; Actinopteri; Salmoniformes; Salmonidae. The record is from RNAcentral.
GUUACUAAUGCACUGGGGCAAAACUUGGUAAAGUAACACACAUGACCCGACCAGCAGUCACAACUUCUUAAUCAUGGCAUUGUCUCUCUGUGAUGUACAGGACCUGUUGGUGUGGAUACACAGGGAUCUGCAAAUUAAGAUAUCAUGAAAGUUUCAGGAUAACGAGAUCCAUUGACACCAAUUACCGUGGAUCAUGAACCAAUUGGACUACAUUAUCUAUGGAUCGAUAACAUGGGGCCAGCAGGUGAUCCAGGUCACAAUAGAGGUCAAGCAGUGGGAGGAGGAAGACGAGGAAGACGUAGUGGUCAAAGGAAUGGCAGGGGACAAGCACCGCUUCUGAGAGGUGGUCGUGGGCCUCGUUUGAGAGGUGUGAGGGAACAUGGUAGAGGACAAGACCAGGGACCAAGACAUCUGCAGCAAAAGCAAAGAGUGUCCAAUGAAAUCCGAGCAAUAGUUGUAGACCAUGUGGUAAAUCAUGGCAAAACAAUGACUGAGGCAGCUACAAUGAUUCCACCAAACCUCAGAAGAUCAAUCGUGGCCUCAAUCAUGAGAACUUUCCACAAUGAGAACUGAAUUGAGACUUGGCCAAAUAGUGGACGCAGAGGCAAAAUUCUGACUGACCAACAAGAGCGGGCUGUGGUCAAUUUAGUUCGGGCCAGAAAUUAUAAUCGCCUUACAGAAAUUCGGCAGAACAUCAUGGACUAUGAUGACAUGUUCAACAAUGUGGAAGCCAUAAGUUUGCAGACUAUUGCACGCAUGCUGAAAAGGCACCAGGCGUCUCUAAAACAGCUAUGCCGUGUGCCUUUUGAAAGAAAUGCAGACAGAGUGAAGCAACUGAGGACUGAAGGGUGAUGGAUCUGGAUGCUGAUGAAAACCUUCACAAAUUCCUCUUUUUGGAUGAGGCAGGCUUCAACCUGGCCAAGACAAGGAGGAAUUUCAUUGGCCAGAGGGCAACCAUCCAAGUACCUGGACAACGUGGGGCCAACAUCACCAUGUGUGCGGCUAUAUCGGAAGAUGGUGUGGUGGGACACAGACCUCGCAUUGGCUCAUAUAAUGCAGCUCUCCUUGUGUAACCUUCUUGAUGAGCUAAAUCAGGUCUGUAGAGAUGAUGGCGUGACCUAUGUCAUUGCGUGGGACAAUGUCAGGUUCCACCAUGCUCAAAUGGUGCAAGCAUGGUUUCAGGCCCAUCCACAAUUUACCACCCUGUACUUACCCCCAUACUCUCCUUUCCUUAACCCGAUUGAGGAAUUUUUCUCCACAUGGAGGCGGAAGGUAUAUGAUAGGCGCCCUCACGAACAAGCCACCCUUCUCCAGGCCAUGGAUGACACAUGCAAUGACAUCACGGCAGACCAGUGUCAGGCCUGGAUUCACCAUGCCCGAAGAUUCUUCCCAAGAUGCUUGGCCAAUGAAAACAUCCAUUGUGAUGUGGAUACGAACCUGUGGCCAAAUCCACAAUUGAUGGAAAUAUAGAAGUACAGUAAUCAAUACUUUGUUUUGCUUUUUACAGUAAGCCAGUUGACAUUUUACUGUAGUGUUUUUCUUUUUUGUAGCUAAUUAUUUUUGCUUUGAUUCAAGGAAACCUAUGUUGUGAUUUUAUUGUAUUUCAUCAAUAAAUUUCAGAUUUUGUUCAAUGAUUCCACUGUGUCUGUAGUAUUCUCUCUACUAGUCCUUUUACAGUGAAGUAUUUACGUGUAGUACCAUAAUGAAACACGUAUCACAUAUUUUGUACUACAAUAUUUUAUGAUUGUAUGAACAACUACACAGUGAAACUAUCGGCAUCUUGUGUGUGGGUGAUCUAAAUGAAUGUUCCUAUGGUAUUUCAUGAUAAUCGUUAUUUGAACCAAUGCAAGGUUUCUUUAAAGAUAUGAAGGCACAAUCCAUCUUUUUGAACAUUGGACAGCCUGUGUUACAAGUGAUGACCGUUUUGAGUUUUAUGUCUAGAGUUUUGAAAAAUGACCACAAGAUUCUGAAAUUAGUGCCAAAGGGAUUGUAAAAAACUGUAAAUAGCCAUCACUAAUUGGCUUCCACCCGGUUACGCAACCCUGCACCUUAGAGGCUGCUGCCCUAUAUACAUAUACUUGGAGUCACUGGCCACUUUAAACAUGGAACACUAGUCACUUUAAUAAUGUUUGAAUAGUGUUUACAUACUGCUUUACUCAUCUCAUAUGUAUAUACUGUAAUCUAUUGUACUGUAUUUUAGUUAAUGCCACUCCAACAUUGCUAAUUAUAUAUUUCUUAAUUACAUUAUUUUACUUUUAGAUGAGUGUGUAUUGUUGUGAAUUGUUAGAUAUUACUUUACUCUUGGAGCUAGAAACACAAGCCUUUCUCUACGCAGGGAUCCGGGGCCAUACUUCCCUUUUAGCUUUUUGCGUCUUUUCCCCACUAAAUGCUAAAUUGAACAUUUCUUUUGGAAAAGACAAUCACUCUAUUACUAAAAUAAUUGACUGUACUUUCUUCUAUUCUGUCACCUGUGCUAUAAACUAAUUUGUGUCACUUCACUCCUUCCAUAAUGCAAAAUAAAAUAUCUGUGGAGUCAAAAUCGAUAAAAACAGACACCUUAAAAUCACACUUCCGUCAAUAAAUGUCUCCCAUAUUCACA